RNAcentral lists this ribosomal RNA (253 nucleotides) under uncultured bacterium. RNAcentral's name for it is "partial 16S ribosomal RNA". It matches the Rfam family "Bacterial small subunit ribosomal RNA", at positions 524 to 776 of the family's 1533-position model. The record is from RNAcentral.
UACGUAGGGUGCAAGCGUUAAUCGGAAUUACUGGGCGUAAAGCGUGCGCAGGCGGUUAUGUAAGACAGUGUGAAAUCCCCGGGCUUAACCUGGGAACUGCAUUGGUGACUGGCAGGCUUUGAGUGUGGCAGAGGGAGGUAGAAUUCCACGUGUAGCAGUGAAAUGCGUAGAGAUGUGGAGGAAUACCGAUGGCGAAGGCAGCCUCCUGGGCCAACACUGACGCUCAUGCACGAAAGCGUGGGGAGCAAACAGG